AUUUCAAAACUUGUAACACACACAUCAAAUUUGCCUGCAACCAGUAAAUUUUCCCGUAUGUGUUUCCUCUCAUCAGGAUUACCAAGAAACUUUACAGCUCGCAAAACUGGACAAAAACGACGAAUUUCAUUCAUCCAGUUACCAAGAGUAGACUUUGGGGCAACCACAGUUAUUCCUCUAAAUUCGUGCAGGUAACCCAACAAGGAGAUGGUUUGUAAAGUUUUACCAAGACCCAUUUCAUCUGCAAGAAUUCCAUUUAUACCAUUCUCAUAGAGUCUUAU
RNAcentral lists this unclassified non-coding RNA (281 nucleotides) under Hevea brasiliensis (rubber tree). The record is from RNAcentral. Lineage: Eukaryota; Viridiplantae; Streptophyta; Magnoliopsida; Malpighiales; Euphorbiaceae.